UACGUAGGGGGCAAGCGUUGUCCGGAAUCAUUGGGCGUAAAGAGCGUGUAGGCGGCCAGAUAAGUCCGCUGUGAAAUCUCGAGGCUCAACUUCGAGCUGUCGGUGGAAACUGUCUGGCUAGAGUCCGGAAGAGGAGAAUGGAAUUCCUGGUGUAGCGGUGAAAUGCGCAGAUAUCAGGAAGAACACCCGUGGCGAAGGCGGUUCUCUGGGACGGUACUGACGCUGAGACGCGAAAGCGAGGGGAGCGAACAGG
RNAcentral lists this ribosomal RNA (253 nucleotides) under uncultured bacterium. RNAcentral's name for it is "partial 16S ribosomal RNA". It matches the Rfam family "Bacterial small subunit ribosomal RNA", at positions 524 to 776 of the family's 1533-position model. The record is from RNAcentral.